RNAcentral lists this ribosomal RNA (712 nucleotides) under uncultured bacterium. RNAcentral describes it as "bacterial SSU rRNA". It matches the Rfam family "Bacterial small subunit ribosomal RNA", at positions 8 to 767 of the family's 1533-position model. The record is from RNAcentral.
AGAGUUUGAUCAUGGCUCAGAACGAACGCUGGCGGCAGGCUUAACACAUGCAAGUCGAGCGCCCCGCAAGGGGAGCGGCAGACGGGUGAGUAACGCGUGGGAACGUACCAUUUGCUACGGAAUAACUCAGGGAAACUUGUGCUAAUACCGUAUGUGCCCGAAAGGGGAAAGAUUUAUCGGCAAAUGAUCGGCCCGCGUUGGAUUAGCUAGUUGGUGGGGUAAAGGCCUACCAAGGCGACGAUCCAUAGCUGGUCUGAGAGGAUGAUCAGCCACACUGGGACUGAGACACGGCCCAGACUCCUACGGGAGGCAGCAGUGGGGAAUAUUGGACAAUGGGCGCAAGCCUGAUCCAGCCAUGGCCGCGUGAGUGAUGAAGGCCCUAGGGUUGUAAAGCUCUUUCACCGGUGAAGAUAAUGACGGUAACCGGAGAAGAAGCCCCGGCUAACUUCGUGCCAGCAGCCGCGGUAAUACGAAGGGGGCUAGCGUUGUUCGGAUUUACUGGGCGUAAAGCGCACGUAGGCGGGCUAAUAAGUCAGGGGUGAAAUCCCGGGGCUCAACCCCGGAACUGCCUUUGAUACUGUUAGUCUUGAGUAUGGUAGAGGUGAGUGGAAUUCCGAGUGUAGAGGUGAAAUUCGUAGAUAUUCGGAGGAACACCAGUGGCGAAGGCGGCUCACUGGACCAUUACUGACGCUGAGGUGCGAAAGCGUGGGGA